Long non-coding RNA from Anguilla rostrata (American eel), 525 nucleotides. RefSeq lists it as uncharacterized. The record is from RefSeq and is a predicted model, not a curated record. NCBI's taxonomy places the organism in Eukaryota, Metazoa, Chordata, Actinopteri, Anguilliformes, Anguillidae. The transcript is spliced from 6 exons.
UCUGGAGUACAAGCUCUAGAAACAGCUCUAGUAAAAAUUAGGGGAAUCCGGGAACAUUGGUCAAUAAGUGUCAGUGGAGUGUUAGAAGGCGGGUCUGUGAGUCUCAGUGGUGUGUUAGAGGGCAGGUCUGUGAGUGUCAGUGGUGUGUUAGAGAACAGGUCUGUGAAAGUCAGUGGUGCGUUAGAGGGCGGGUCUGUGAGUGUCAGUGGUGUGUUAGAGGGCAGGCUGUGAAGGUCAGUGGUGUGUUAGAGGGCAGGUCUGUGAGUGUCAGUGGUGUGUUAGAGAACAGGUCUGUGAGUGUCAGUGGUGUGUUAGAGGGCAGGUCUGUGAGUGUCAGUGGUGUGUUAGAGGGCAGGUCUGUGAGUGUCAGUGGUGCGUUAGAGGGCAGGUCUGUGAGUGUCAGUGGUGUGUUAGAGGGCAGGCUGUGAAGGUCAGUGGUGUGUUAGAGGGCAGUUCUGUGAGUGUCAGUGGUGUGUUAGAGGGCAGGCUGUGAGUGUCAGUGGUGUGUUAGAGGGCAGGUCUGUG